GGGCAGGACUGCUGGCAGAUGUAAUUGGUGGAACAGAAGAAAACCCUUUUGUUCCUGUAAAUCCGGACUUUGACAUGUCACUCUGCUCUCCCUGCCCACCCAGCUGCUACUUGUGCUGUCUCUUGAAGGUGCCUGCUUUCCUCUGGAGGUAAGGCCUUUGGCCUGGCUCCUUCUGUGACAGUCCUCUGUGGGACUGUUCUCCUCCAUCCCAGACCCCCGUGCUCCCUUUUAGUGUGGGAGCCAGGAAGCAGCAGCAGCACUGAGCCUUCUCACUUGUGUGCAGCAUUUCCUUCUGCUAGCCGAGGGAGCAGAAAAGCGCUGUCUGAAGGGUUUGUUUUCUUCUCAGCAAGAUUGCUGGAUUUGCAGAGCAGAGGCGAUUGCUGUUCCUUCAAAUAGGAAGCACGUGUUGGGGGAAAGUGAUGGAGACUCAGCUGUCUUCCCCAGGACACUUCUUCAGAGAUGACUUUGACACAGCAUCGAGGCUGAAGCCCUUGGGGAGAUGCUAAGAAAUCAGCUAAGCUGCUAACAUGUCCCAGCAUGCACCAGAUAACAGAGGCUUGAUAAACCCAAAGGGCUCGUUGUUAAACAAGUGCCUGGAGCUGAGCUGAUGCUAGUGGUUGCCAUUAUGCUGGGACCAGGAGGAAAUGAACUGUGUCAACAUGUUUGUGAGUGACUAACUACUGUUUUCUAUGGAACAAAAGAUGUGAGAGGUGAGUAAAUAGGUAGUAAAACAUGGGUGUGGAGCCUUUGCAGGCUCCUUUCUGCUCUGGAGAAUGAAUCAAGUCUAAUACAUGUAGGGGGAAGAUGUUGUAGCAUUGCCUUUUGACAAGUAGUGCCUUUUUUUCUGCCACCAUCAGUGAAGAAAAAAAAAAAAAGGCUCCUUUAUUGUCACCAAUGGCUAUGAUUAACCAGUCUGAUCUGCUAGAUUGGAUUUGUUAUGCUAGUGUUUGCUAGUGACUUAUGGGGCAGUGUACUAUCUCAG
Gallus gallus (chicken) is the source of this 982-nucleotide long non-coding RNA. NCBI's taxonomy places the organism in Eukaryota, Metazoa, Chordata, Aves, Galliformes, Phasianidae. The record is from Ensembl.